CAGUCGCCGCGGGAAUACGUAGGGUGCAAGCGUUAAUCGGAAUUACUGGGCGUAAAGCGUGCGCAGGCGGUUAUAUAAGACAGAUGUGAAAUCCCCGGGCUCAACCUGGGAACUGCAUUUGUGACUGUAUAGCUAGAGUACGGCAGAGGGGGAUGGAAUUCCGCGUGUAGCAGUGAAAUGCGUAGAUAUGCGGAGGAACACCGAUGGCGAAGGUAAUCCCCUGGGCCUGUACUGACGCUCAUGCACGAAAGCGUGGGGAGCAAACAGGAUUAGAUACCCCAGUAGUCCCUGUCUCUUAUAC
RNAcentral lists this ribosomal RNA (301 nucleotides) under uncultured bacterium. Its description in RNAcentral is "partial 16S ribosomal RNA". It matches the Rfam family "Bacterial small subunit ribosomal RNA", at positions 509 to 807 of the family's 1533-position model. The record is from RNAcentral.